GGCCUCUUCAUCUUAUCAGGAGCUUGUACAUUAUGGACGUAAGAAACAAUACCAGUCUUAGUAAAUGUGGAAAAUCAGCUCUCCGAUUGUGAAUAAACAAGUAUUUGCGGGCUAACGAGUAUGCUGAUUGGGUAUUAUGUCCUUACCUCAAUAAAAUACCUUGAAACUUUAACACGUGUGGAUGAGUUCUCGGAUGCGUAUGGUAGUUGUAGCAACAAAUGUUCAGGAUAUUCUAUCUUAUCCACCACGUUAUGUAUUUCAAGUUUAGCACUAUGUUCACAUUAAGAGGCAAACACUAGAAUCAUGGUGCAUGUAUC
This 317-nucleotide long non-coding RNA is filed under the name Mytilus galloprovincialis (Mediterranean mussel). Lineage: Eukaryota; Metazoa; Mollusca; Bivalvia; Mytilida; Mytilidae. The record is from RNAcentral.